GGGUUUCCCAGGCAGCCCUGCCAGGGCUCGCGUUCUCGGCCGAGCUUCUGGAAGUUUCCCCGGGGCGGGUCUUGGCCAAUCAGGUGUCGAGGUGGUUAACCGCCGCGUCCGCGCCGUCAGAGCUUCGUGAGAGGCGGCUGCCGCCGGUCACCGAGGGGGCGAGUAAAUCUUUUUUAUCCCCCCCCCACCGGAGGAGGCUACAUCUAUUGUUCCAACUUUUCAACAAAAAACCCAAGGUGUCUCAGACUGUUUACUUUCUUGGAUCUGAAUAGCUUGCUGGACACCGCUUUCUCAACCUUCAUACAAAGAAGAGGACAGAAUAUACCUCUUAAAGCUUACUAUCGUGGAAUAUUUCUAUUGGUGAAGUGCGCCUUCGGACCACCUCCGCAGACACCGGACCAAGACCUUGAGAUUCAGGAUCGAUCUUCUUGGCCACAAAUUGGAGAUUUUGGACUUGUCCGGGACUGGGAUCGCCCCAGGUUUGGACCAAAGUGGAAAGGACCAUACCAAGUGCUUCUUCAGACUCCAACAGCCCUUAAAGGUCAGUGUCUUGUUAUUGCAUCAAGUCCGUGAGGGUCUCCGAAAAUGAACCUGACAUUUGGCGCAACGAGCAGGGUUCCAACAUGUACAGCAGUCUCACGUGGAGGGCUGAAUAAGUGAUCGUUCAAGUGUCGGAGGAGUGAGACGGACGGGCCCGCAAGAGCUAGCUGUGUCACCUCUAAUAUAGCGGGGUGACCUACAGUUACAGCCUUGACCAUGGGCCGUGUCGGGGGUAGUUGCCACAGAGCCAGGAUGACACACCCCAUCCCAAAGACUACCUCCUUGGUCCCACCCCACCUUUGCUUGGGCACAGCCAAAAGUACCCUUCCUCCGCCACAUCCUACACUCACAUAGGAACCCUGUCUUCUUCCCGGGACGCAACUCUACCCUCUCUCUCUGUCUAUCCGUCAUUGUGUCUUGGAGAGGGCCUAGAGCCUGGACUUGUGGUGGAAAGGGGACUCUCGGUAGCUGUAGGCCUAGAGCCUAGACACGUGGUGGAGAGGGGACUCCUGGCAGCUGUAGGCCCGGAGCCUGGACUCGUGGUGGAGAGGGGACUCCUGGCAGCUGUAGGCCCGGAGCCUGGACUCGUGGUGGAGAGGGGACUCCUGGCAGCUGUAGGCCCGGAGCCUGAACUCGUGGUGGAGAGGGGACUCCUGGCAGCUGGAGCCUGGACUCGUGGUGGAGAGGGAACUCUUGGCAGCUGUAGGCCCGGAGCCUGGACUCGUGGUGGAGAGCGGACUCCUGGCAGCUGGAGCCUGGACUCGUGGUGGAGAGGGGACUCCUGGUAGCUGUAGGCCCAGAGCCUGGACUCGUGGAGAGGGGACUCCUGGCAGCUGUAGGCCUGGAGCCUGGACUCAUGGUGGAGAGGGGACUCUUGGUAGCUGUAGGCCCGGAGCCUGGACUCGUGGUGGAGAGGGGACUCCUGGUAGCUGUAGGCCUAGAUCCUAGGCUCUUGACAAUGGCGGUGCCUGAAUGGGGGUCUCCAGGCAACAGUAGGUCCAGAGCCUUGUCUCUUGACUGUGUCAGCGGUGACAGCAGAGCCAGGCUGUCUUGGGGCAUCAGCGUUGUCACCACUAUUCCGUGAGAGGGAUUCCUGGAGGACUGGACCAAAUUGCAGAAGCUCUGAGCCUGUGCUUAAGACCCCAAUUUGAACA
Long non-coding RNA from Stegostoma tigrinum, 1694 nucleotides. RefSeq lists it as uncharacterized. The transcript has 5 exons. The record is from RefSeq and is a predicted model, not a curated record. NCBI's taxonomy places the organism in Eukaryota, Metazoa, Chordata, Chondrichthyes, Orectolobiformes, Stegostomatidae.